AGCGAACGCUGGCGGCAGGCCUAACACAUGCCAGUCGAACGAACCUUUCGGGGUUAGUGGCGGACGGGUGAGUAACACGUGGGAACGUGCCUUUAGGUUCGGAAUAACUCAGGGAAACUUGUGCUAAUACCGAAUGUGCCCUUCGGGGGAAAGAUUAAUCGCCUUUAGAGCGGCCCGCGUCUGAUUAGCUAGUUGGUUGAGGUAAUGGCUCACCAAGGCGACGAUCAGUAGCUGGUCUGAGAGGAUGAUCAGCCACAUUGGGACUGAGACACGGCCCAACCUCCUACGGGAGGCAGCAGUGGGGAAUCUUGCGCAAUGGGCGAAAGCCUGACGCAGCCAUGCCGCGUGAAUGAUGAAGGUCUUAGGAUUGUAAAAUUCUUUCACCGGGGACGAUAAUGACGGUACCCGGAGAAGAAGCCCCGGCUAACUUCGUG
RNAcentral lists this ribosomal RNA (434 nucleotides) under uncultured bacterium. RNAcentral's name for it is "partial 16S ribosomal RNA". It matches the Rfam family "Bacterial small subunit ribosomal RNA", at positions 29 to 507 of the family's 1533-position model. The record is from RNAcentral.